AAGGUAGCAUAAUCACUUGUCUUUUAAUUGGAGGCUGGAAUGAAGGAGGCGACGAAAUUUAGGCUUUUAGUUUAUAAUGUGAAAUUAACAUAAAGAUCAAAAGGUCUUUAUUAAUCAAAGGGACGAUAAGACCCUAUAAAACUUUACUAUAAGGUAAAUUAGAUAGCAAAAUUCAAAGGCUUAUAGUUUGGCUGGGGCGGUUUAUAUAAAAACAAUUGAAAUAUAAAUAUAUUUAAUAAAUUUUGAGAACUCCUGUAGGAAAUGAUUAAGUUACUUUAGGGAUAACAGCAUAAUUUUCCCAGAGAGUCCUUAUUGGCGGGAAAGCUUAUGACCUCGAUGUUGAAUUGGGGUGUCUAGUAUAAGCAAAAAUAUACUAAGAUAGUCUGUUCGACUAUUAAACCCCC
Molecule: ribosomal RNA, 404 nt
Filed under: Proasellus grafi
Lineage: Eukaryota; Metazoa; Arthropoda; Malacostraca; Isopoda; Asellidae
Description: partial 16S ribosomal RNA
Rfam family: Bacterial large subunit ribosomal RNA
Source: RNAcentral